UACGAAGGGUGCAAGCGUUACUCGGAAUUACUGGGCGUAAAGCGUGCGUAGGUGGUUUGUUAAGUCUGAUGUGAAAGCCCUGGGCUCAACCUGGGAAUUGCAUUGGAUACUGGCAGGCUAGAGUGCGGUAGAGGAUGGCGGAAUUCCCGGUGUAGCAGUGAAAUGCGUAGAGAUCGGGAGGAACAUCUGUGGCGAAGGCGGCCAUCUGGACCAGCACUGACACUGAGGCACGAAAGCGUGGGGAGCGAUCCGG
RNAcentral lists this ribosomal RNA (253 nucleotides) under uncultured bacterium. RNAcentral describes it as "partial 16S ribosomal RNA". It matches the Rfam family "Bacterial small subunit ribosomal RNA", at positions 524 to 776 of the family's 1533-position model. The record is from RNAcentral.